GAUGAAGAACGCAGCGAAAUGCGAUAAGUAGUGUGAAUUGCAGAAUUCAGUGAAUCAUCGAAUCUUUGAACGCACAUUGCGCCCUUUGGUAUUCCAAAGGGCAUGCCUGUUCGAGCGUCAUUUGUACCCUCAAGCUUUGCUUGGUGUUGGGCGUCUUGUCUCUAGCUUUGCUGGAGACUCGCCUUAAAGUAAUUGGCAGCCGGCCUACUGGUUUCGGAGCGCAGCACAAGUCGCACUCUCUAUCAGCAAAGGUCUAGCAUCCAUUAAGCCUUUUUUUCAACUUUUGACCUCGGAUCAGGUAGGGAUACCCGCUGAACUUAAGCAUAUCAAUAAGCG
Molecule: unclassified non-coding RNA, 336 nt
Filed under: soil metagenome
Description: partial contains 5.8S ribosomal RNA, internal transcribed spacer 2, and large subunit ribosomal RNA
Rfam family: 5.8S ribosomal RNA (bases 1-120)
Source: RNAcentral